CAUGUAUUUGUAUGUAACCGAAUGAUAGUGUUCCUUAGAAUAAGUAAUGUGAAACACGUGAGUAGAUAAGGAAAUUUAGCCGAACGGCAUAUUGUACGAAAUUGAAAAGAACCGAACACUGGUUCAAAUGAACGGGGCUCCGCCAUUUAAAGCUAGGAAGUUUGUGGCAGUUCCUUUACGGCGGGCCUGACUUACGGUUUAAUGCGGUGGCGAAGUAACAAACGGGCUGUGCGGACGCCAGCGACGGGAAGGAGAACCAGGGAAGCACCGGACCAGGAGUCCACGAGGAAGACAGGUAAGAAAAUCCAAAAUGGCGAUCUGAACCAGAAGUAAAUGUUUCAGACUCGCCAGACCAGCAACGAUUGGCAGCCCUUUUAAAGAGAAUUCAAG
This is a non-coding RNA of Pelobates cultripes (western spadefoot toad), 390 nucleotides long. The record is from the annotation of a GenBank genome assembly. NCBI's taxonomy places the organism in Eukaryota, Metazoa, Chordata, Amphibia, Anura, Pelobatidae.